Molecule: long non-coding RNA, 900 nt
Filed under: Manihot esculenta (cassava)
Lineage: Eukaryota; Viridiplantae; Streptophyta; Magnoliopsida; Malpighiales; Euphorbiaceae
Description: long non-coding RNA (MESC_LNC006540)
Source: RNAcentral
AGCAUAUAAGUUCAGCAAGUUUAACAUUUAUAAGAGUUGAAAUUACACAUUUUAGGAAUAAUCAACACAAUACAAGGAAUGAUACAGGUAAGUCCAGCAAGUUUGAGAUUUACAUAAAGUUGAAAUUUGGUAUCCUAGUUGCAUAACCCUGCCUCCACUAACUCUUCUCAUGACACCACAAGCACCCAAAGCCAACAAAUAAGAGAGAAUGCAAUCCAAUUGCUCACUCUACUCUCUUUCCGUGUUUUUCCAGGAGGUGAUAACCAAUAGGGGGAUGAAGCGAGUAGUGACAGGAAUGUGAGUAUUGAGUUAUAUCUCCACUGUCACCAUUGCAAUUCCACCCAUUGGGCCUAUUUUUUCUAUACUCAUCUACGGAACUAAUGAUCAUACAUGUGGUUCUAUAAUGCAAAAACAAAUCAAACAGUUAUACUUAAAAUAUCCAAAAACAAAUUAACCAGUAUAGAGCCAAAUUAAAUCAAGCAAUAUUGAGCCGACUAGUCAUUUCAACUCUCACAAAGGACAAGAAUGCUAGAUUAGGAUGAAAAACACAAAGCUACUAUUUUAAAUCACAACAAAAUUGAAAAAUCACACAUGGUAGCAAAUAGAAUAAAACAACUGUUACAAGGAUGACAACCUACUUGUAGAGAUAAUGAAGAAGAUUUUGUCAAUAGGAGAGAACAACGUUGGACUCGAUUGCAAGGGAGAGAGGAACGAUACUUAAGGCUGUACAAUGGCACACUUACAGAUCGCAAUGGAGACUGGAAUUGCAAUUGAGACUGAUGCACAGUGGGAUCAAUGGAAAAAGGAGAGGAUGAAUGGCAAUGGAACAAUGAAUGGCAAGGAGAAAGGAUAAAAUUGCUAACGAUGGAUUACUAAACGAGACAGUAAAGUUCAGUGAAA